UACGGAGGGUGCAAGCGUUAUCCGGAUUCACUGGGUUUAAAGGGUGCGUAGGCGGGUAUGUAAGUCAGUGGUGAAAUCCCCGAGCUUAACUCGGGAACUGCCAUUGAUACUAUAUAUCUUGAAUGUUCUGGAGGUAUGCGGAAUAUGUCAUGUAGCGGUGAAAUGCUUAGAGAUGACAUAGAACACCUAUUGCGAAGGCAGCAUACUACGGAAAUAUUGACGCUGAGGCACGAAAGUGUGGGGAUCAAACAGG
RNAcentral lists this ribosomal RNA (253 nucleotides) under uncultured bacterium. RNAcentral's name for it is "partial 16S ribosomal RNA". It matches the Rfam family "Bacterial small subunit ribosomal RNA", at positions 524 to 776 of the family's 1533-position model. RNAcentral also lists the same sequence under 1 other name. The record is from RNAcentral.